AGACGUCUACAUUAGAUACCCCUGUAGUCCCAGCCGUAAACUAUGCGCGUUAGGUGUAUCGGUGACCACGAGUUACCGAGGUGCCGAAGGGAAACCGUGAAACGUGCCGCCUGGGAAGUACGGUCGCAAGGCUGAAACUUAAGGAAUUGGCGGGGAGCACCACAACAGGUGGAGCCUGCGGUUUAAUUGGACUCAACGCCGGGAAGCUCACCGGAUAGGACAGCAGAAUGAUUGCCGGGCUGAAGACCCUGCAUGACUAGCUG
RNAcentral lists this ribosomal RNA (263 nucleotides) under uncultured archaeon. RNAcentral's name for it is "partial 16S ribosomal RNA". It matches the Rfam family "Archaeal small subunit ribosomal RNA", at positions 714 to 982 of the family's 1478-position model. The record is from RNAcentral.